This 29-nucleotide non-coding RNA is filed under the name Mus musculus (house mouse). Lineage: Eukaryota; Metazoa; Chordata; Mammalia; Rodentia; Muridae. The record is from RNAcentral.
UGAGGUUCAAGUGCAUUCCUUUAUCCUUC